AUCAAAGCAUGACUCGGUUUGUUUGAGGAUACACUGGUGUGAGUUUUGGGGCGGGGCUACGGAUUUUUGGCCAAUGACACCAGACAGAGUGAGUGUUUGGGGUUCGGGGGUAUCCUGUUUUUCAAACCCAAUACAGGACAGUUUGUCUACCUGGAUCAAAAAAUACAAUGGCCUUCAAGCAGGCAUAUUCAUUGUCAUCGAUCUGGAGAUCUUGGAAGGGAAGGACUAAUUCGUCAAGGAUUCUUACAGCCACACGGCUCACCUCCAAUUCGGGGCAGUUUCGAGGAACUAUAUGAUCAUUACCUGAGAGAAACAUGGAAAAUUGUGAGCACUUUACCUAGAGUACUUUGAGUCAUUACAUCCCAGUAAGAAAAGAGGAACUUCAGCCAUUCUGUCCACAUUAUUCAUCUUCUCCAGCAAAUAGGCCCUAUUUACCAGUCAUUAUGGAUUUGCCACACCUCCCGAAUUGCAGCCGUGCACCACAAUCUCUCACGAAUGGUGAUAAUAGCUACCAUAUUGGAUGAAAUGUCAACGAACAAAAUGCCAUGCAACAACAUGUUCCACCAAGAUCACCAAAGCACCCACCAUUUUUUUCCCUGAAACUAUAUCGAAAGAGACGGAGUACUUACCAUACGGUGGAUCCAUAUGGGUGCCAACCUGAGCGUUCACAUUGACCAUGAUGUCUCUUCUGCUCCCCACCACUGUGUUUUUGUAAUUUUUCUCUCUUUAAGUGUAAAAGAUGAUGAGGAAUAAACACAUAUAAGUUUUGCACAGUC
This is a long non-coding RNA of Megalobrama amblycephala (Wuchang bream), 776 nucleotides long. RefSeq lists it as uncharacterized. NCBI's taxonomy places the organism in Eukaryota, Metazoa, Chordata, Actinopteri, Cypriniformes, Xenocyprididae. The transcript has 3 exons. The record is from RefSeq and is a predicted model, not a curated record.